Molecule: ribosomal RNA, 423 nt
Filed under: uncultured archaeon
Lineage: Archaea
Description: partial 16S ribosomal RNA
Rfam family: Archaeal small subunit ribosomal RNA
Source: RNAcentral
CUACGGGGUGCUCCAGGCGCGAAACCUUUACAAUGCACGAAAGUGUGAUAAGGGGAUCCUAAGUGCUCAUGCUUCGGUAUGGGCUUUUUUCAAGAGUAAAUAUCUUGGAGAAUAAGUGGUGGGUAAGACUGGUGCCAGCCGCCGCGGUAACACCAGCGCCACAAGUGGCAACCGUGUUUAUUGGGCCUAAAGCGUCCGUAGCCGGUUGAAUAAAUCUUUUGUGAAAUCGUCAGGCUUAACUUGACGGCAGGCAGAAGACACUAUUCAACUCGAGACCGGGAGGGGUCAAAGGUAUUCCUGAGGGAGCGGUAAAAUGUGAUAAUCUCAGGAGGAUCACCUAUGGCGAAGGCAUUUGACCAGAACGGUUCUGACGGUGAGGGACGAAGGCUGGGGGAGCGAUCCGGAUUAGAUACCCGGGUAGUC